This 254-nucleotide ribosomal RNA is filed under the name uncultured bacterium. Its description in RNAcentral is "partial 16S ribosomal RNA". It matches the Rfam family "Bacterial small subunit ribosomal RNA", at positions 524 to 776 of the family's 1533-position model. The record is from RNAcentral.
UACGGGGGGAGCAAGCGUUGUUCGGAUUUACUGGGCGUAAAGGGCGCGUAGGCGGUCGUGACAAGUCACUUGUGAAAUCUCCGGGCUUAACUCGGAACGGUCAAGUGAUACUGUCGGACUAGAGUACAGAAGGGGCAACUGGAAUUCUCGGUGUAGCGGUGAAAUGCGCAGAUAUCAGGAGGAACACCGGUGGCGAAGGCGGGUCUCUGGGCAGUAACUGACGCUGAGGAGCGAAAGCGUGGGGAGCGAACAGG